CCUACGGGUGGCAGCAGUGGGGAAUAUUGGGCAAUGGGCGCAAGCCUGACCCAGCAACGCCGCGUGAAGGAAGAAGGCCCUCGGGUUGUAAACUUCUUUUGUCAGGGACGAAACACAUGACGGUACCUGACUAAUAAGCCACGGCUAACUACGUGCCAGCAGCCGCGGUAAUACGUAGGUGGCAAGCGUUAUCCGGAUUUACUGGGUGUAAAGGGCGUGUAGGCGGGAGAGUAAGUCAGAUGUGAAAUUCCAGGGCUCAACCCUGGAACUGCAUUUGAAACUGUUUUUCUUGAGUGAUGGAGAGGCAGGCGGAAUUCCGGGUGUAGCGGUGAAAUGCGUAGAUAUACGGAGGAACACCAGUGGCGAAGGCGGCCUGCUGGACAUUAACUGACGCUGAGGCGCGAAAGCGUGGGGAGCAAACAGGAUUAGAUACCCGUGUAGUC
This 443-nucleotide ribosomal RNA is filed under the name uncultured bacterium. RNAcentral describes it as "partial 16S ribosomal RNA". It matches the Rfam family "Bacterial small subunit ribosomal RNA", at positions 338 to 795 of the family's 1533-position model. The record is from RNAcentral.